RNAcentral lists this unclassified non-coding RNA (329 nucleotides) under soil metagenome. RNAcentral's name for it is "partial contains 5.8S ribosomal RNA, internal transcribed spacer 2, and large subunit ribosomal RNA". The stretch from base 1 to 120 matches the Rfam family "5.8S ribosomal RNA", at positions 35 to 154 of the family's 154-position model. The record is from RNAcentral.
GAUGAAGAACGCAGCGAAAUGCGAUAAGUAAUGUGAAUUGCAGAAUUCAGUGAAUCAUCGAAUCUAUGAACGCACAUUGCGCCCCCUGGUAUUCCGGGGGGCAUGCCUGUCCGAGCGUCAUUACAACCCUCAAGCUCAGCUUGGUAUUGGGCCCCGCCGACCCGGCGGGCCCUAAAGUCAGUGGCGGUGCCGUCCGGCUCCGAGCGUAGUAAUUCUUCUCGCUCUGGAGGUCCGGUCGUGUGCUCGCCAGCAACCCCCAAUUUUUUUCAGGUUGACCUCGGAUCAGGUAGGGAUACCCGCUGAACUUAAGCAUAUCAAUAAGCGGAGGA